Felis catus (domestic cat) is the source of this 1519-nucleotide non-coding RNA. The record is from the annotation of a RefSeq genome assembly. NCBI's taxonomy places the organism in Eukaryota, Metazoa, Chordata, Mammalia, Carnivora, Felidae.
UCAAAGGAGUGUGUCCCAGAGAUGCCAGCUCAGUCUUGACCCAUGAACGAGCAAGGGAGCAGUGGGGAGGCUGGAGCUGUCUCUCUGAUGGGCUCUGGUCACCAUGUCACACAAUGGCGUGUCUGUGACUGGACACUAGGGGUCACUCAGGGCCUGGUUCUCCCGAGGGGUCAGGGUUAUUGAGACUUGAAUCUGCCACCUGGCACUGCCUUUGCCUUCUGCUCAGGGCUCCCAUCUGGGACCUCCCCACCCCCUGGCCCCACACAGCCCCUGCCCUGCCCACCCCUGACCUCCUCAGGAUGAGGGACCAACCGGGGCCUGUGAAGGGUCAGAGAGCUGGGGGUCUCAUGCAUGGAUGGGUCCUCCCUCUCUCAGAGGAUGAAGAGGGGAAGGAGGGGUUAGGGAAGGUCUGCUCAGCUGUGGGGUCACAGAGGGCAGGAGCAGUCAUGAGGAACGGGCCUCCACCAUGGCCUGGGUCUCUCUCUUCCUCAUCGUACGUGCUCACUGCACAGGGUCCUUGGCCCAGUCUGUGCUGACUCAGCCAUCUUCAGUGUCUGGGUCCCUGGGCCAGACACUCACCAUUUCCUGCACUGGAAGCCCAGCCAACAUUGGGGCCAGUUAUUGUGUGUUUUGGUACCCACAGCUCCCAGGAAUGACCCCUAAAGCCAUUCUCCACGAGAACACUUGGCCUUUGGGGGUCCCAGACCGGUUCUCUGGCUCCAAGCCUGGCAACACAGGCUCCUUGACAAUCACUGGGCUCCAGGAGGACGAUGAGCCUGAUGAUCACGGCUCAGCGUGGGACAAGAAACUCAUUGCUUAUGCAGUGCCCAGUCCUUUGGGGAAGUGCAACAAAAAUCUGCUGUUUCCCCAGCAAUGGGGCUCUUCUCACAGCCUCCUCCCUUUGGCCAAGUCAGCUGCUUCCUUCGUUUGGUGUAAACUGUGGUGUGAGAACAAUGUCAAGGAACUUAGGUUAGCAAAUGAUCCAUAUUCUAUUAACCUCAGGCCCCCAAGCCUGUCCCCGGCUGGAACACGUUGUAGGAGAUUCUCCUACCGGGGAGAAAUUCCUGGGUGUCAGGGGCCAGCUGCCCUGGGGUCAGAGUCCGUGACAGGUCAGGACAGAGCCAAGAACAAAGAGUCCAGGUGUGUCUGAGUGUUGAUACAGUGCUGCCCAGAUAAUGUGCAUCCAUAGCGCUUCCUGAACACCUAGUGUGUGCCACAAAUGACUCUAGGGAUGUGGGUCCCAUGUGGACGUGACAGGAAGGGUCCCCAUGUUCAGGGAGUCAACAGUGUCUGGGAGAAGAGAGAGGACACAAAAGCUAAACAUGUUGUAAAGGAAGGUUGUCAAAAGUCCUCUCCAUGAAUAUCCUUGAUGAUGAAACACAUUGCAGUAGCAUGGGAGUAACAAGGUCACUGUGCAUGAGAAGCCUUAAAAGUGGUCAUGGCCAAAGACGUGAGUAGAGUUCAUUACGAUGCAAUUGACAAGAAAAUGUGUUUAUUCCUGUGACACACAACACAAACA